This 448-nucleotide ribosomal RNA is filed under the name uncultured bacterium. RNAcentral's name for it is "bacterial SSU rRNA". It matches the Rfam family "Bacterial small subunit ribosomal RNA", at positions 50 to 507 of the family's 1533-position model. The record is from RNAcentral.
AACACAUGCAAGUCGAACGAGAUCCAUGGGAGCUUGCUCCCGGAAGAUCUAGUGGCGAACGGGUGAGUAACACGUGAGAAACCUGCCCUGGAGGUGGGAAUAACUCGGGGAAAACUCGAGCUAAUACCGCAUACCCUCGGAUGGUCGCAUGGCCGACCGAGGAAAGAUUUUAUCGCUCUAGGAGGGUCUCGCGGCCUAUCAGCUAGUUGGUGGGUAACGGCCUACCAAGGCAACGACGGGUAGCUGGUUUGAGAGAACGAUCAGCCACACUGGGACUGAGACACGGCCCAGACUCCUACGGGAGGCAGCAGUGGGGAAUCUUUGCGCAAUGGGCGAAAGCCUGACGCAGCAACGCCGCGUGCGGGAUGACGGCCUUCGUGGUUGUAAACCGCUUUCAGCAGGGACGAAAAUGACGGUACCUGCAGAAGAAGCCCCGGCUAACUACGUG